This 527-nucleotide ribosomal RNA is filed under the name Synodontis petricola (cuckoo catfish). Its description in RNAcentral is "partial 16S ribosomal RNA". It matches the Rfam family "Bacterial large subunit ribosomal RNA", at positions 1852 to 2585 of the family's 2925-position model. Lineage: Eukaryota; Metazoa; Chordata; Actinopteri; Siluriformes; Mochokidae. The record is from RNAcentral.
GUCUUGCCUGCCCAGUGACAAGUUAAACGGCCGCGGUAUUUUGACCGUGCGAAGGUAGCGCAAUCACUUGUCUUUUAAAUGAAGACCUGUAUGAAUGGUGGAACGAGGGCUUAACUGUCUCCCUUUUCAGGUCAAUGAAAUUGAUCUGCCCGUGCAGAAGCGGACAUACAAAUACAAGACGAGAAGACCCUUUGGAGCUUAAGACACAAGAUCAACUACGUCAAGAACCCAACAUCAAGUUAAACUAAGUAGGAACUGAUCCACAUCUUCAGUUGGGGCGACCGCGGGAGAAAACAAAGCUCCCACGCGGACCGGGGUUUCAACCCUAAAACCAAGAGAAACAUCUCUAAGUCACAGAAUAUCUGACCAUAAAGAUCCGGCCACUUGCCGAUCAACGGACCAAGUUACCCUAGGGAUAACAGCGCAAUCCUCUUCCAGAGUCCAUAUCGACAAGAGGGUUUACGACCUCGAUGUUGGAUCAGGACAUCCUAAUGGUGCAGCCGCUAUUAAGGGUUCGUUUGUUCAAC